Molecule: long non-coding RNA, 306 nt
Organism: Ipomoea nil (Japanese morning glory)
Lineage: Eukaryota; Viridiplantae; Streptophyta; Magnoliopsida; Solanales; Convolvulaceae
Exons: 3
Source: RefSeq, a predicted model, not a curated record
UACUAGGGUGCCAUGUCUCGUCUUUUAUCUUAGUGGGAGUCGUAAACCCUAAUCGGAAAGCAGUGCUUUUUAUUUUUGUUUCUCCGAUCCUAGAAAAUGGCAUUUUCCUCAGCUUUUCGCGGUAUAUUGGGAGGACAUUUGAUGCCUUCAUCAAUCUUUCAAUCUCAAUGUGCUUCGCUAAGGUUCUGUUCAACCCUUACUACCUCAAAGCUCUUCGUCAGUGGCCUUUCAAGAUACACUUCAGAUGAAGGCCUUAAUAAAGCAUUUGAGCAAUUUGGGAAACUUGUUGAGGCAAAAGUCAUUACA